GACGAACGCUGGCGGCGUGCUUAACACAUGCAAGUCGAACGGAAAGGCCCUGCUUUUGUGGGGUGCUCGAGUGGCGAAAGGGUGAGUAACACGGGAGUAACCUGCCCUUGACUUUGGGAUAACUUCAGGAAACUGGGGCUAAUACCGGAUAGGAGCUCCUGCUGCAUGGUGGGGGGUGGAAAGUUUCGGCGGUUGGGGAUGGACUCGCGGCUUAUCAGCUUGUUGGUGGGGUAGUGGCUUACCAAGGCUUUGACGGGUAGCCGGCCUGAGAGGGUGACCGGCCACAUUGGGACUGAGAUACGGCCCAGACUCCUACGGGAGGCAGCAGUGGGGAAUAUUGCACAAUGGGCGGAAGCCUGAUGCAGCAACGCCGCGUGCGGGAUGACGGCCUUCGGGUUGUAAACCGCUUUCGCCUGUGACGAAGCGUGAGUGACGGUAAUGGGUAAAGAAGCACCGGCUAACUACGUG
This 468-nucleotide ribosomal RNA is filed under the name uncultured bacterium. RNAcentral describes it as "partial 16S ribosomal RNA". It matches the Rfam family "Bacterial small subunit ribosomal RNA", at positions 28 to 507 of the family's 1533-position model. The record is from RNAcentral.